Molecule: ribosomal RNA, 460 nt
Filed under: uncultured bacterium
Lineage: Bacteria
Description: partial 16S ribosomal RNA
Rfam family: Bacterial small subunit ribosomal RNA
Source: RNAcentral
CCUACGGGAGGCAGCAGUGAGGAAUAUUGGUCAAUGGGCGCGAGCCUGAACCAGCCAAGUAGCGUGAAGGAUGACUGCCCUACGGGUUGUAAACUUCUUUUAUAAAGGAAUAAAGUGUGGCACGUGUGCCUUUUUGUAUGUACUUUAUGAAUAAGGAUCGGCUAACUCCGGGCCAGCAGCCGCGGUAAUACGGAGGAUCCGAGCGUUAUCCGGAUUUAUUGGGUUUAAAGGGAGCGUAGAUGGGUUGUUAAGUCAGUUGUGAAAGUUUGCGGCUCAACCGUAAAAUUGCAAUUGAUACUGGCAGACUUGAGUACAGUAGAGGUAGGCGGAAUUCGUGGUGUAGCGGUGAAAUGCUUAGAUAUCACGAAGAACUCCGAUUGUGAAGGCAGCUUACUGGACUGCCACUGACAUUGAUGCUCGAAAGUGUGGGUAUCAAACAGGAUUAGAUACCCCAGUAGUC